UACGGAGGAUCCAAGCGUUAUCCGGAAUCAUUGGGUUUAAAGGGUCCGUAGGCGGUUUAGUAAGUCAGUGGUGAAAGCCCAUCGCUCAACGGUGGAACGGCCAUUGAUACUGCUGAACUUGAAUUACUGGGAAGUAACUAGAAUAUGUAGUGUAGCGGUGAAAUGCUUAGAUAUUACAUGGAAUACCAAUUGCGAAGGCAGGUUACUACCAGUUUAUUGACGCUGAUGGACGAAAGCGUGGGGAGCGAACAGG
RNAcentral lists this ribosomal RNA (253 nucleotides) under uncultured bacterium. Its description in RNAcentral is "partial 16S ribosomal RNA". It matches the Rfam family "Bacterial small subunit ribosomal RNA", at positions 524 to 776 of the family's 1533-position model. The record is from RNAcentral.